This 253-nucleotide ribosomal RNA is filed under the name uncultured bacterium. Its description in RNAcentral is "partial 16S ribosomal RNA". It matches the Rfam family "Bacterial small subunit ribosomal RNA", at positions 524 to 776 of the family's 1533-position model. The record is from RNAcentral.
UACGAAGGGGGCUAGCGUUGCUCGGAAUCACUGGGCGGAAAGCGCACGUAGGCGGAUUGCUAAGUCAGGGGUGAAAUCCUGGAGCUCAACUCCAGAACUGCCUUUGAUACUGGCGAUCUCGAGUCCGGGAGAGGUGAGUGGAACUGCGAGUGUAGAGGUGAAAUUCGUAGAUAUUCGCAAGAACACCAGUGGCGAAGGCGGCUCACUGGCCCGGUACUGACGCUGAGGUGCGAAAGCGUGGGGAGCAAACAGG